GGGUGUAGGAAACUUGAGAGGAGCUGUCCCUAGUACGAGAGGACCGGGAUGGACACACCUCUGGUGUCCCAGUUGUCGCGCCCGCGGCAUCGCUGGGUAGCUAUGUGUGGAAGGGAUAACCGCUGAAGGCAUCUAAGCGGGAAGCCCGCCUUGAAACGAGGUUUCCCUGAGAGCCGUGGCAGACCACCACGUUGAUAGGCCGGGUGUGGAAGCGCAGUAAUGCGUGAAGCUAACCGGUACUAAUCGCUCGAUUGGCUUGCGUUU
Molecule: ribosomal RNA, 264 nt
Filed under: Rhodospirillales bacterium
Lineage: Bacteria; Pseudomonadati; Pseudomonadota; Alphaproteobacteria; Rhodospirillales
Description: partial 23S ribosomal RNA
Rfam family: Bacterial large subunit ribosomal RNA
Source: RNAcentral